This 382-nucleotide ribosomal RNA is filed under the name uncultured eukaryote. Its description in RNAcentral is "partial 18S ribosomal RNA". It matches the Rfam family "Eukaryotic small subunit ribosomal RNA", at positions 592 to 976 of the family's 1831-position model. The record is from RNAcentral.
CAAUAGCGUAUAUUGAAGUUGUUGCGGUUAAAAAGCUCGUCGUUGGAUUUCUGUUGAGGUCGAACAGUGCCGCGCUAUGGGUGCGCAACUGGCUCGGCUUCGGCAUCUUCUUGGAGAGCGCAUCUGCACUUAACUGUGUGGAUCGUACUUCAAGUCAGUUACUUUGAGGAAUUGUGAGUGUUUCAAGCAGGCUUACGCCGUUGAAUCCGUUAGCAUGGAAUAAUAGGAUAGGACCUCGGUUCUAUUUUGUUGGUUUUGAGAGCUGGGGCAGCGAUUGAUAGGGACGGAUGGGGGCGUCCGAACUUUACUGUCAGAGGUGAAAUUCUUAGAUCGGUCAAAGGCGAACUACUGCGAACGCAUUCGCCAAGAAUGUUUUCUUUAA